GAAACUUGUCUCCUUGACCGCCCUCCCGGCGCAGCUGGUCCUGUCAUUACUGUUUGACGGGAGGGUGACAGGUGCCCCCGGUCGCCGCCCAGCGGGAGUUUUGCUUAAAUGCCCCCACGGCUUGCCUUGCUAGUGGAGCAGGGAUUCUCUAUUUGAAAGCUGAAGAAACACGCUGAGACUUUGUCUACACUGAGAAAAUUUCAUGGUAUCUGCAGAUUCAGGAAGACAGCACUGCAUCAAUUGUAUUCCACUCACAUUUGGAAUUCUUUACAACGAUGAGGACUAGAAACUCACUUUUUAAAAUACACCACCACCACUCAGUGACUGAAAUGCUGAUCAAAGGAGAGAGCCUGACUGAAAAUUAACUUGACCUGAGCAGCCAACAUGGAUGGAACACUUGAAGAACUUUGCUAUAUGGUAAUUACACUGAAGAGCUGUCUAAUGAAUUGCUAGGGAUUUGAAGAGGAACUCUGGAGCUCAAAAGCUUCUCUUCCACCAAAAGAAGUUGGUCCUACCCACCUUCUCUCUCUCAACUAGUUGUGCUGGCAAUUGAAAGCUAAAUCCAAAUACAUCUUCUAUACUGUGAAAUGGAGCUUAUGUUAUUUUCACUCACCUGCUAUUACACUGAAGUUAAGAUGGCAUACAAUGCUUUUUUGACAUAUAGCCUGGAGUAUAUGAGCUUUAUAUCUGGUGGGAGUUAGCUUUGAAGAUUUUAU
Long non-coding RNA from Mauremys mutica (yellowpond turtle), 716 nucleotides. RefSeq lists it as uncharacterized. The transcript has 6 exons. NCBI's taxonomy places the organism in Eukaryota, Metazoa, Chordata, Testudines, Geoemydidae. The record is from RefSeq and is a predicted model, not a curated record.